UGGAAAGCCCCUGGAGCUUAGCUGGCUCA
This 29-nucleotide non-coding RNA is filed under the name Macaca fascicularis (crab-eating macaque). RNAcentral also lists the same sequence under 1 other name. Lineage: Eukaryota; Metazoa; Chordata; Mammalia; Primates; Cercopithecidae. The record is from RNAcentral.